RNAcentral lists this ribosomal RNA (390 nucleotides) under Penaeus vannamei (Pacific white shrimp). Its description in RNAcentral is "partial 16S ribosomal RNA". It matches the Rfam family "Bacterial large subunit ribosomal RNA", at positions 1947 to 2536 of the family's 2925-position model. The record is from RNAcentral. Lineage: Eukaryota; Metazoa; Arthropoda; Malacostraca; Decapoda; Penaeidae.
UGUGCGAAGGUAGCAUAAUCAUUAGUCUUUUAAUUGGAGGCUCGUAUGAAUGGUUGGACAAAAAGCAAACUGUCUCAAUUAUAUUUAUUGAAUUUAACUUUUAAGUGAAAAGGCUUAAAUAAAUUAAGGGGACGAUAAGACCCUAUAAAGCUUUACAAUAAGUUACCUAUAUUAUAAAUUGUUAGUAUAACUUGAGUUUAGGUAACGUUUGUUGCGUUGGGGCGACGAGAAUAUAAUAAGUAACUGUUCUUAAGUUAUUUAAUGACAGAAAUUUCUGGAAAAUUAAUGAUCCUCUACUAGAGAUCAUAAGAUUAAGUUACUUUAGGGAUAACAGCGUAAUCUUCUUUGAGAGUCCACAUCGACAGGAAGGGUUGCGACCCCGAUGUUGAA